This 254-nucleotide ribosomal RNA is filed under the name uncultured bacterium. RNAcentral's name for it is "partial 16S ribosomal RNA". It matches the Rfam family "Bacterial small subunit ribosomal RNA", at positions 524 to 776 of the family's 1533-position model. The record is from RNAcentral.
UACGAGGGGGGCAAAUGUUGUUCGGAAUCACUGGGCGUAAAGGGAGCGUAGGCGGGUUUCUAAGUCAGGUGUUUAAUCCCGGGGCCCAACCCCCGGACAGGCACUUGAAACUGGGAAUCUUGAAUAGGGGAGAGGUCAGUGGAAUUGGAGGUGUAGCGGUGGAAUGCGUAGAGAUCUCCAAGAACACCAGUUGCGAAGGCGGCUGACUGGACCCAUAUUGACGCUGAGGCUCGAAAGCAUGGGGAGCAAACAGG